GAUGAAGAACGCAGUGAAAUGCGAUAAGUAAUGUGAAUUGCAGAAUUCAGUGAAUCAUCGAAUCUUUGAACGCACAUUGCGCCCGCCAGCAUUCUGGCGGGCAUGCCUGUUCGAGCGUCAUUUCAAACCUCGAGCCCCCCCGGGGGCCUCGGUGUUGGGGGACGGCACACCAGCCGCCCCCGAAAUGCAGUGGCGACCCCGCCGCAGCCUCCCCUGCGUAGUAGCACACACCUCGCACCGGAGCGCGGAGGCGGUCACGCCGUAAAACGCCCAACUUUCUUAGAGUUGACCUCGGAUCAGGUAGGAAUACCCGCUGAACUUAAGCAUAUCAAUAAGCGGAGGA
RNAcentral lists this unclassified non-coding RNA (343 nucleotides) under soil metagenome. RNAcentral's name for it is "partial contains 5.8S ribosomal RNA, internal transcribed spacer 2, and large subunit ribosomal RNA". The stretch from base 1 to 120 matches the Rfam family "5.8S ribosomal RNA", at positions 35 to 154 of the family's 154-position model. The record is from RNAcentral.